GUGAACGCUGGCGGUAGGCCUAACCCCUGCAAGUCGAACGGCAGCACAGUAAGAGCUUGCUCUUACGGGUGGCGAGUGGCGGACGGGUGAGGAAUACAUCGGAAUCUACUUUUUCGUGGGGGAUAACGUAGGGAAACUUACGCUAAUACCGCAUACGACCUACGGGUGAAAGCAGGGGAUCUUCGGACCUUGCGCGAUUGAAUGAGCCGAUGUCGGAUUAGCUAGUUGGCGGGGUAAAGGCCCACCAAGGCGACGAUCCGUAGCUGGUCUGAGAGGAUGAUCAGCCACACUGGAACUGAGACACGGUCCAGACUCCUACGGGAGGCAGCAGUGGGGAAUAUUGGACAAUGGGCGCAAGCCUGAUCCAGCCAUACCGCGUGGGUGAAGAGGGCCUUCGGGUUGUAAAGCCCUUUUGUUGGGAAAGAAAAGCAGCAGGUUAAUACCCCGCUGUUCUGACGGUACCCAAAGAAUAAGCACCGGCUAACUUCGUG
Molecule: ribosomal RNA, 491 nt
Filed under: uncultured bacterium
Lineage: Bacteria
Description: partial 16S ribosomal RNA
Rfam family: Bacterial small subunit ribosomal RNA
Source: RNAcentral